GGAGAUUAGGACACAGACACACACAGAGGGAGGACCAAGUGAGGACACAGGGAGAAGAUGGCCGUCUACCAGCCGAGGAGAGAGACUUCAGAGGAAGCCGGCCCUGACAACACCUUGCUCUUGGCCUUCCAGCCUCCAGAACUGUAAGAAAAUCCAUUUCUGUUGUUUGCGCAGUCUUGCGGUACUUCGUGAUGGCAGCCCCAGCAGACUCCCACACCCGCUCUCCCAGGCCUAGUGUAUAUUAGGCCCCCACAGCCCCAGUGCCUUGGCCGGAUUCCAGUUCAGGAAAAACAGCAAAUUGGCAAACAUCAGGAAGCGGGUACACCCCCUCUGAUUUACAAGGAAGAGUGCAGGGUGACUCUAUAGCUCAGGA
Molecule: long non-coding RNA, 373 nt
Organism: Orcinus orca (killer whale)
Lineage: Eukaryota; Metazoa; Chordata; Mammalia; Artiodactyla; Delphinidae
Exons: 3
Source: RefSeq, a predicted model, not a curated record